This 466-nucleotide ribosomal RNA is filed under the name uncultured bacterium. Its description in RNAcentral is "bacterial SSU rRNA". It matches the Rfam family "Bacterial small subunit ribosomal RNA", at positions 329 to 793 of the family's 1533-position model. The record is from RNAcentral.
GCCCAGACUCCUACGGGAGGCAGCAGUGAGGAAUAUUGGUCAAUGGCCGAGAGGCUGAACCAGCCAAGUCGCGUGAGGGAUGACGGCCCUACGGGUUGUAAACCUCUUUUGCCGGGGAGCAAAGAGCGGGACGCGUCCCGCCUCGAGAGUACCCGGAGAAAAAGCAUCGGCUAACUCCGUGCCAGCAGCCGCGGUAAUCCGGAGGAUGCGAGCGUUAUCCGGAUUUAUUGGGUUUAAAGGGUGCGUAGGCGGAAUAUCAAGUCAGCGGUAAAAAUUCGGGGCUCAACCCCGUCGUGCCGUUGAAACUGAUGUUCUUGAGUGGGCGAGAAGUGUGCGGAAUGCGUGGUGUAGCGGUGAAAUGCAUAGAUAUCACGCAGAACUCCGAUUGCGAAGGCAGCAUACCGGCGCCCAACUGACGCUGAAGCACGAAAGCGUGGGUAUCGAACAGGAUUAGAUACCCUUGUAU